RNAcentral lists this ribosomal RNA (465 nucleotides) under uncultured Rhodocyclaceae bacterium. RNAcentral describes it as "bacterial SSU rRNA". It matches the Rfam family "Bacterial small subunit ribosomal RNA", at positions 338 to 795 of the family's 1533-position model. The record is from RNAcentral. Lineage: Bacteria; Pseudomonadati; Pseudomonadota; Betaproteobacteria; Rhodocyclales; Rhodocyclaceae.
CCUACGGGAGGCUGCAGUGGGGAAUUUUGGACAAUGGGGGCAACCCUGAUCCAGCCAUUCCGCGUGAGUGAAGAAGGCCUUCGGGUUGUAAAGCUCUUUCAGCAGGAACGAAACGGUCGGCUUUAAUAAAGUCGGCUAAUGACGGUACCUGCAGAAGAAGCACCGGCUAACUACGUGCCAGCAGCCGCGGUAAUACGUAGGGUGCGAGCGUUAAUCGGAAUUACUGGGCGUAAAGCGUGCGCAGGCGGCGACAUAAGACAGAUGUGAAAUCCCCGGGCUCAACCUGGGAACUGCGUUUGUGACUGUGUUGCUAGAGUGUAGCAGAGGGGGGUGGAAUUCCACGUGUAGCAGUGAAAUGCGUAGAGAUGUGGAGGAACACCGAUGGCGAAGGCAGCCCCCUGGGUUAACACUGACGCUCAUGCACGAAAGCGUGGGGAGCAAACAGGAUUAGAUACCCCUGUAGUC